GAUGAACGCUGGCGGCGUGCCUAAUACAUGCAAGUCGAGCGAACAGACGAGGAGCUUGCUCCUCUGACGUUAGCGGCGGACGGGUGAGUAACACGUGGAUAACCUACCUAUAAGACUGGGAUAACUUCGGGAAACCGGAGCUAAUACCGGAUAAUAUAUUGAACCGCAUGGUUCAAUAGUGAAAGACGGUUUUGCUGUCACUUAUAGAUGGAUCCGCGCCGCAUUAGCUAGUUGGUAAGGUAACGGCUUACCAAGGCAACGAUGCGUAGCCGACCUGAGAGGGUGAUCGGCCACACUGGAACUGAGACACGGUCCAGACUCCUACGGGAGGCAGCAGUAGGGAAUCUUCCGCCAUGGGCGAAAGCCUGACGGAGCAACGCCGCGUGAGUGAUGAAGGUCUUCGGAUCGUAAAACUCUGUUAUUAGGGAAGACCAAAUGUGUAAGUAACUAUGCACGUCUUGACGGUACCUAAUCAGAAAGCCACGGCUAACUACGUG
RNAcentral lists this ribosomal RNA (497 nucleotides) under uncultured bacterium. Its description in RNAcentral is "partial 16S ribosomal RNA". It matches the Rfam family "Bacterial small subunit ribosomal RNA", at positions 28 to 507 of the family's 1533-position model. The record is from RNAcentral.